Molecule: ribosomal RNA, 725 nt
Filed under: uncultured bacterium
Lineage: Bacteria
Description: bacterial SSU rRNA
Rfam family: Bacterial small subunit ribosomal RNA
Source: RNAcentral
AACAGGAUUAGAUACCCUGGUAGUCCACGCCCUAAACGAUGUCUACUAGUUGUCGGGUCUUAAUUGACUUGGUAACGCAGCUAACGCGUGAAGUAGACCGCCUGGGGAGUACGGUCGCAAGAUUAAAACUCAAAGGAAUUGACGGGGACCCGCACAAGCGGUGGAUGAUGUGGAUUAAUUCGAUGCAACGCGAAAAACCUUACCUACCCUUGACAUGGCUGGAAUCCUUGAGAGAUCAGGGAGUGCUCGAAAGAGAACCAGUACACAGGUGCUGCAUGGCUGUCGUCAACUCGUGUCGUGAGAUGUUGGGUUAAGUCCCGCAACGAGCGCAACCCUUGUCAUUAGUUGCUACGAAAGGGCACUCUAAUGAGACUGCCGGUGACAAACCGGAGGAAGGUGGGGAUGACGUCAAGUCCUCAUGGCCCUUAUGGGUAGGGCUCCACACGUCAUACAAUGGUACAUACAGAGCGCCGCCAACCCGCGAGGGGGAGCUAAUCGCAGAAAGUGUAUCGUAGUCCGGAUUGUAGUCUGCAACUCGACUGCAUGAAGUUGGAAUCGCUAGUAAUCGCGGAUCAGCAUGUCGCGGUGAAUACGUUCCCGGGUCUUGUACACACCGCCCGUCACACCAUGGGAGCGGGUUUUACCAGAAGUAGGUAGCUUAACCGUAAGGAGGGCGCUUACCACGGUAGGGUUCGUGACUGGGGUGAAGUCGUAACAAGGUAACC